UUCGGGAGAUUUCAGAGCCUGACCCACCUCCGCGGAUGCCCGGUGCAUAGCCUGGAGAAACGGGGGAGGCACUUUGUGCGUUCUCUAGCCGGCCGUACCAACUGCUGCAAGAG
Molecule: non-coding RNA, 113 nt
Organism: Tinamus guttatus (white-throated tinamou)
Lineage: Eukaryota; Metazoa; Chordata; Aves; Tinamiformes; Tinamidae
Source: RefSeq, a predicted model, not a curated record